Molecule: long non-coding RNA, 230 nt
Filed under: Elaeis guineensis (African oil palm)
Lineage: Eukaryota; Viridiplantae; Streptophyta; Magnoliopsida; Arecales; Arecaceae
Description: long non-coding RNA (EGUI_LNC012523)
Source: RNAcentral
CAAAUGGGAAGAACUCACAUCAUUUGAUCUGAAACUUAUCUGUGAUGACAUUGAUGAUAUCCCUGAGUCUGUAAAUGUUACGAUAGGGCCAUUAACAUGCAAUAUCCAGGUGAGAAUAACUUCAUCUCCGAACUGACACCGCCGGGUACAUCCACAUCCGACGAGAGUUCCGGCAGCAACGAUGAAGAGUGGAACUUCUGGUUCGGUUCGGGUGACAGACCCCCCUCGUC